RNAcentral lists this ribosomal RNA (253 nucleotides) under uncultured bacterium. RNAcentral's name for it is "partial 16S ribosomal RNA". It matches the Rfam family "Bacterial small subunit ribosomal RNA", at positions 524 to 776 of the family's 1533-position model. The record is from RNAcentral.
UACAGAGGGUGCGAGCGUUGUUCGGAAUUACUGGGCGUAAAGCGUGCGCAGGCGGUUUUGUAAGCCAGAUGUGAAAUCCCCGGGCUUAACCUGGGAAUGGCAUUUGGGACUGCAAGGCUUGAGUGCGGCAGAGGAGACUGGAAUUCCUGGUGUAGCAGUGAAAUGCGUAGAUAUCAGGAGGAAUACCGAUGGCGAAGGCAGGUCUCUGGGCUGACACUGACGCUCAUGCACGAAAGCGUGGGGAGCAAACAGG